AAGCCUGAUGCAGCAACGCCGCGUGAGGGACGACGGCCUUCGGGUUGUAAACCUCUUUUAGCAGGGAAGAAGCGAAAGUGACGGUACCUGCAGAAAAAGCACCGGCUAACUACGUGCCAGCAGCCGCGGUAAUACGUAGGGUGCAAGCGUUAUCCGGAAUUAUUGGGCGUAAAGAGCUCGUAGGCGGUUUGUCGCGUCUGCUGUGAA
RNAcentral lists this ribosomal RNA (207 nucleotides) under Microbacterium deminutum. RNAcentral's name for it is "partial 16S ribosomal RNA". It matches the Rfam family "Bacterial small subunit ribosomal RNA", at positions 379 to 598 of the family's 1533-position model. The record is from RNAcentral. Lineage: Bacteria; Bacillati; Actinomycetota; Actinomycetes; Micrococcales; Microbacteriaceae.